This 553-nucleotide ribosomal RNA is filed under the name Petascelis remipes. Its description in RNAcentral is "SSU rRNA". It matches the Rfam family "Eukaryotic small subunit ribosomal RNA", at positions 862 to 1422 of the family's 1831-position model. Lineage: Eukaryota; Metazoa; Arthropoda; Insecta; Hemiptera; Coreidae. The record is from RNAcentral.
GUAAUGAUCAAUAAGGACAGGCGGGGGCAUUCGUAUUGCGACGUUAGAGGUGAAAUUCUUGGAUCGUCGCAAGACGCACUAGAGCGAAAGCAUUUGCCAAGUAUGUCUUAAUUGAUCAAGAACGAAAGUUAGAGGUUCGAAGGCGAUCAGAUACCGCCCUAGUUCUAACCAUAAACGAUGCCAGCCAGCGAUCCGCCGAUGUUCCUCCGAUGACUCGGCGGGGAGCUUCCCCCGGGAAACCAAAGCUUUUGGGUUCCGGGGGAAGUAUGGUUGCAAAGCUGAAACUUAAAGGAAUUGACGGAAGGGCACCACCAGGAGUGGAGCCUGCGGCUUAAUUUGACUCAACACGGGAAACCUCACCAGGCCCGGACAUUGGAAGGAUUGACAGAUCGAUAGCUCUUUCUCGAUUCAGUGGGUAGUGGUGCAUGGCCGUUCUUAGUUGGUGGACUGAUUUGUCUGGUUAAUUCCGAUAACGAACGAGACUCUAGCCUAUUAACUAGGCGUUGCCGGUAUAAACAGCUACCGGCGAGAUUUUUUCUUCUUAAGGGGACAG